This 406-nucleotide ribosomal RNA is filed under the name uncultured bacterium. RNAcentral describes it as "partial 16S ribosomal RNA". It matches the Rfam family "Bacterial small subunit ribosomal RNA", at positions 30 to 526 of the family's 1533-position model. The record is from RNAcentral.
AUUGAACGCUGGCGGCAGGCCUAACACAUGCAAGUCGAGCGAGUGGCGGACGGGUGAGUAAUGUCUGGGAAACUGCCUGAUGGAGGGGGAUAACUACUGGAAACGGUAGCUAAUACCGCAUACUAUCGGAUGUGCCCAGAUGGGAUUAGCUAGUAGGUGGGGUAAAGGCUCACCUAGGCGACGAUCCCUAGCUGGUCUGAGAGGAUGAUCAGCCAAACGGGAACUGAGACACGGUCCAGACUCCUACGGGAGGCAGCAGUGGGGAAUAUUGCACAAUGGGCGCAAGCCUGAUGCAGCCAUGCCGCGUGUGUGAAGAAGGCCUUCGGGUUGUAAAGCACUUUCAGCGAGGAGGCGUUACUCGCAGAAGAAGCACCGGCUAACUCCGUGCCAGCAGCCGCGGUAAUUC